RNAcentral lists this long non-coding RNA (5966 nucleotides) under Sus scrofa (pig). Its description in RNAcentral is "lncRNA (ENSSSCG00000055282.1)". Lineage: Eukaryota; Metazoa; Chordata; Mammalia; Artiodactyla; Suidae. The record is from RNAcentral.
AAAUCAACUGUGUAUGCUCCUAAGGAGGGGGAUUAGAACUGAGUUUUAUAUUUUUUGUGUAAUUUAUAAAUUUUCAGGAAAAUCUUGAAGGUCAAGAUGGAGAAGGCAGAAAGAAUUAUACAGUUUUAGAACCUGAAAGGACUUUCAUGAUUGUCUACUGUUAUAAUUCCCAACCAUGAAACUAUUUUAGAACUCUCCAAGCAAAUUUUAAUGCUUCAAAUAGUAACACAUUAGGAGUUCCCAUCAUGGCUCAGCAGUUAACGAACCUGACUAGCAUCUAUGAGGAUUCAGGUUCGAUCCCUGGCCUUGCUCAGUGGGUUAAGGAUCCGGCAUUGCCACAAGCUGUGGUGUAGGUUGAAGAUGCAGCUCGGAUCCUGCAUUGCUGUGGAUGUGGUGUAGGCCGGCAGCUGCAGUUCCUGUUGGACCCCUAGCCUGGGAACUUCCAUAUGCCGAGGGUGCAGCCCUAGAAAGACAAAAAAAAAACAAACAAAAAGUUACAUUUAUUAUAUAUUAGUUGUGUGCUAGUCACUGUAAUUUCUUUACAUGUAAUCCAUUCACAUUUAAAAAGUGUCAUACAUUACUUACUUAUCAAAAGGUCAAGUAACUAUAGCUCAGGUUUUCUCACAACCGAUCCAGUCGCCUUUCUCGUUCCCCACACUUUGCAUGACCUGGAGUGUUCUCAUAGGGCUAACAUUCGGGACACCUGGUUUUCACUGGAGCAGAUCAUAUUCUACUCCAGGCAGGAGAUUAUGUAGAAUACUUUUGUUGUGCAAAGCACUUGGCGCCUGACAGCACUGGCUUUCAGGUAUGACUCAACAGCUUAAAAGCUAGAUGAUCUUAGCUAAGUCACUUAACCUUUCUGAAUCUCAGUAUCCUCAUAGACGUGUUCUAAGAAUUUAAUUGAGUGACGCAUAUGGAGUGCCUGGCACAUUUCCUGGCAUGUAGACCUUAUUCAGUCUGUAGAUUCUCUCUACCCCUUCGCAGAGUCCUCAGCAUCCAUGCUGAUGAUGCCUUAGACGGGCUAACCUCCUAAUCUGAAAUGGGGAGCAUCCACCCCGUUCUCACACAUAAUGGAAUGAUUUUCCUUUGCCUUGUAGCUUGCUCCAAGUGCCCUCUUUUGUUACGCUUUCUAAUUGAACACGGAGUACUGCGGUUCCUCUCGGCAAGCGUUCCAAGUGGCUUCCUGCUUCCUUGCAGAUCUGCCUCUGAGUCAGCCUAUUUUCGUGGCCUCUCACAAUGGCAGUGCUAGCCCCUGUGGAGACCUCCAGCAAGGCUGGCUAAACCAAGGGAUCAGGCAGGCAGGCAGCUACCUCAGAUGCAGGCCUGACCUCUCUCUCCAGCUAAAUGGACAGACCCCAGGGGAUUAGCCAAGGAAGAAGGUGAAGUGUGAGCCACAUUUAGCCCCCAGCUAUUCCUUCAACACUGUUCUCCUUUCAUCGUCUCACUGACUGGCAUAGACGGCCACAGUCUCAACCCUCUUCUGCUCACCCUGCCCUCCUUUCUGGAACAUUCUCACAUCCCCUUGUAGGUGGUAACCAUCCAUUAGCCUUCCAUUUCGAUCCACUCCCCCCAGGAAUCACACUCCCUCCCAUCAAUAGCUGUGCCACUAGGGCACUGUCCUUUCUCAGGGGUGCUUGAUAUUAAGACUCUGGUGCCAGAAGGAUGGAUCUGAAUCUUGGGUCUUCCUCUUAUUAGCUGUGUGAUCUUGAGAAAGGAGAUCUUUUCUAAGGGAGAGUCUCCUCCUUUGUAAAGUAGGGAUACUCAUGAUACAUGUCUCAUAGAAGGACUAUGAAGAUUAAAAAAAUCUUAGGAAUGUGCCCUGCAUGUAGCUAAGUGUUUACUAAACAUUUUAAAGUUCCAUUUUUCAAAGUAAGCUCCUAUAAGAUUGAUCAGCUAUCCAUCCAUUCAUCCAUCUACCUGGUGCUUGGAACCCAGAGGCAAACCGGAUGCAAUCUGUGCCCUCAAGGAUCUGGCAGUCUUACCAGGGAGGUAGAAAUGCAAGCACAUUUAUUAUGAUGUGAUAGAACUGAAAGGCUUAGGACUUGCCAGCUUGGAUCCUGUCAGUCUUCCCCAUUGAUGUGACAGCUGAGAUAGAGCCUUCUCCUUUGGCUGCAUUGUGGUGUCUGCUAUUGCUCCUGGCUGCUCACUGAAGCCUCUUGGUCCCAGAGAAAAAAGCUGGAAGCUCUGGCUCCACAGAGGUCUGGGGGACCUGCCCUCCAUCCUGGUUUCAUGCCAUAGUAAUCUCCUCUUUCGAUAUAUGGGAAAUGGAAGAACUUUUAAACACAGGCUGCUAGAGCUUCCGGGACCUUUGCCAGGAUUUUAAUCCAUCCAAACCAAUUGUUCCAAGCUGAGAAUCAGUGGAUCAACUUUGGACUUGAUCCUCGAGCCAGAGAGCAAAGGUUGUGGGUCACCUAAUACCCUCUCAACACCUUCCACCCAGCACAUCUGUCUAAACCAUCCCCAACAAGGAAUACAUCCUAUCUUUGGAAAAUUUUCAGCAGAGUCAGUUCACAGAUGCUCCUUCCAAUAUGAGAUUAAUCGUAAAAACCUCUGAAUCAUCAUACAGAGAUGUGAGAGCACACAAAUAUAGAAAGUGUUCAAUUAGCUCAGAGGAUUACAAGAGCCUGUGAGCAUGGCCUUAGUCAGGGCUGUGAUUCCCACGUAAGCCAGCUGGCCUUCUCUGAUGCCUGCAGACCUAAUGUUGAGCGGACAACAUGUGGUCUUCAGGGAGCAGGGGAGAGCGUGGGCAGCUCUGCAGUCCCCGUGACCCCAUCAAAUGCUAUAUCCUGCAUUACCUCUGUGCCUUUGCCCAUAAUGUUCUUUCCAGUUGCCCCCUCCUCAGCAAGAUCCCUGCCGUUCUGGAAACCAUAGCUUAUGUGUUCUCUCCUCUGUGAGGUUUUCUCUGAUAGACCAUCCAUCACCUGAGGCUUCCAGUUCUGUGCAACAGACAUUUAUGAGGUUGUCUUUUUAUUACAAUGUGUAUGUGUCACUGCAUUUUAUGACAUGUGUACAUGUCUCUGUUAGACUUGAACUACUCAAAGUCAGCGUCCUGUCCGCCCUAUCCCAGUGCUCAGCAUGGAGUCCGCAUCAGCUGUGAAUAGGUAGGACCAGGUGAUUAGAUAGGAGGUGGUAAUUCCAACUGCCCUAGUGGGGAAGGCGUAGAGUUGCCAUCAGCGAAGAGCUAAGAGGAAUGGAGCUUCUGAUGGUCUCCAGGUGAGAGGAGCUGAAAUGGGCAGUUUCUGAGCAGAGAUCCAAGAUAUCAACUCAGCCUCUCACCGGCUGUUCUCCCACAAUUCUUAGCAACUCUUUUACCUCCUGGCUACUUGGCUUUGCUUUUUUCCUAAUUAUCUUGCUACGUUUGACUCUUAGUUAGGCUCUCAAGCUUAUGUACGUCUAACAUGUCUGUAGGUGGAACUACUAUAGACGAUAUGCCAUAGAGAUAUGCUAGUUGUAAAUUAGCUGAAGAACAAAGAUGAUAGUAAAGUGAGCGAAAUCAUUAGAACGUGACAGGUUUUGAGUCUAUAUUACAUUUUUUUUUUUCUUUUAGGGCCACACCUGAGGCAUAUGGAAGUUCCUGGACUAGGGGUCGAAUUGGAGCUGCUGCUGGAGCCUACACCACAGCCACAGCAAUGGUGGAUCUGAGUUGCAUCUGCAACCUCCACAACAGCUUGCAACAAUAAUGGGUUCCUAACCCACUGAGUGAGGCCAGGGAUCAAACCCGUAUUCUCAUGGACACUAUAUUUGGUUUUUAACCUGCUGAGUCACAAUGGGAACUCCAUUUUUUAAAACCUUUUAAAAUAUAAUUUAUUUAAUCAUAAAUUUAUAUAACUUAACAUGGUCAUGUUUAACAAACAGCUUAGAAGAUGCCCCAAAAUGUAACCAUCAGCACCUGUGAGCUGGUGUGGGCCGGCUCCAGCACCAUCGUCAGGAUAGUAACCCUGGUCCCUGCCGGGACCAUCCCACCAGGACUCCGCCUACCAACCGAAAUGCUUGAUGGGAGAACCCACACGCCCAGAACUAGAGACAGUGAGCCUCACACUUGCUCAGAUACCCAGAAAAGCCGAGUCUGGGCAUCGGAAGAACUGCCACUCUGCCGUCAGAGACACCGGAGACUACAGAGGCUACAAGCAGGUCUGUCCUUUGCUCCACUUGCUGUAGGUGCGGUGGCCGGGUGUCAGGGUGAUUCUGAAAUGGAGAUUUGUGUUUAUUAGGGGGGUCCUGUUGGCAACGACACCUAGGAGGUGUGGACCUGUGAUCCUCUGGGGAGCCCCAGCCCUCUUCAGUGCUGUGCAGCUCUGGGUCACAGGGCCCGGCCUUUGUAUGCCGCAUCACACAGUCAUGGGAUGUGGGCUGUCUAAACCAUCCCCAGGAAGGAGUAACUCCUACUUGGAAUAUUUUCGGGGGAAUCAGUUCAUAGAUAUCCAUGAACGAGUGUGGGGGUAGAUAGGCUGCUUCCUCUGCCCAGAGCAAUGCCUGCAGCGGGACUCAGCUGUAAGCCCUCCAGCCAGCAAGGCCCGUGGCAGCUGGGAUGGAAAAUGAAUGCCUUGGUCCUGCAGGGGUCGGCUCUGUACUUCAAGCAUCCCUUCCACCAGAGUGGGGCCCCAGAUCAGCAGCAGCUGGAAGCUUGUAAGAAACGCACCUUAUCUAGGCCCCGCCGCAGACCUCCUGAAUCAGAAAUGCAGGGGGUGGGGCGUAGCAAUCAUUUUUAACAAGCUCCUCAGGUGAUGCUGAUGCAGAUUGGAGUUUGAGAGUAACUGCCUCACACCAGCCGUUCUCAAACUCUGGUCUCAGAACCCCUUAUCCUUCUCCAGCUUAGUGAGGACCCCAGAGAGCUUUUGUUUAUGUAGAUAGACAAUACCUACCAUACAGAAAUUAAAACAAAGAAAUUUUUCAAAAAUAGCUUAUCAGUUUUAGACUUCCCGUUGUGGCUCAGUGGUGAUGACUGCAACCUGCAUCCAUAAGAAUGAGGGUUCGAUCCCUGGCCUUGCCCAGUGGGUCAAGGAUCCGGCAUUGCCAUGAGCUGUAGUGUAGGUUGCAGACGCGGCUCAGAUCCCAAGUUGCUGUGGCUGUGGUGUAGGCUGGUGGCUACAGCUCCAAUUUGACCCCUAGCCUGGGAACCUUCAUAUGCCUCAGGUGCAGCCCUAAAAAAACUAACAAGAUCCUAUGAUUUUAUGAAAAAACUACAUUUUCACAAUGAGAAAAGAAUUAGCAAGAUUUCACAUUUUGGUGAAAUUCUUCAAUGUCUGGCUUAGUAGAAGGCCAUCUACUUUCACAUGGAAUAUCUCUUAACAUCCUGUGUCCUAUAGUUUCUAGAAAACUCUACACUUGUACAUUUGAAAGAGUGAGAAGGAAAAAAGGCAGAUCAUAUCUCAGCAUCUUACAAAAAUAGUUUUGACAUCCUGGACUUUAAAAGAGGUCCUAAGGACCCUCACCUUGGGAAGUGCCACACCUCACCGCCUCUCCUGGAGCAGGAAGUCAGGCCACUAGGUCAGAUGCUGCUAGGUUUCCUAUGCGGAGUCAUUUUGGACUGUUUCUCAGACCUUGUGAAUGUUGUGUUGAGGAAACUGUGGGUUAUGUCACAUGCUAAGAAGAGUGGUUUUGUUUUUUGUUUCCUGGCAGUCAAUGCACUUGUUAGAGCUCAAAAGGGCAAGCUCUGUCUCUAGGGCAGCAGCUUAGUGUGUUUCCACCAUCUGUUUGGUGUGCGUGUGUGGUUCAGGCUCAGCCAAAGGCUUGGGCAGUGUUAAACACAGAACUUGGAGUUCCUGUUGCGGCUCAGUGGGUUAAGGACCCAACACUGUGUCUGGGAGUCUGUGGGUUUGAUCCCUGCCCCUCUCAGUAGGUUAGGGACGUGGCACUGCUACCAGUAGCAGUGUAGGUCACACAUAAGGCUCAGAUCCUGUGUGGUUGUGGUGUAGGCAGGGAGCUAUACCUCCACUGUGACCCCUAGCCUGGGAACUUCCAUAUGC